This is an RNA transcript of Oncorhynchus kisutch (coho salmon), 4760 nucleotides long. It is a transcript of the gene named eukaryotic translation initiation factor 2D-like, with no coding region annotated. NCBI's taxonomy places the organism in Eukaryota, Metazoa, Chordata, Actinopteri, Salmoniformes, Salmonidae. The record is from RefSeq and is a predicted model, not a curated record. The transcript is spliced from 11 exons.
CUCCGCGUAUCCUUCUCAAAACCCAUUGGACAAGAAAGCCAGAAGUCCCUCCUCUCUGAUCGUCUCCUCCAAUGGGUUUCGAGAAAGAGAAGAGAGGAUGCGAGUAUGAUGCGAUAAGUUUACAUUUGAGAUCUUCCCACAUAUUGGAUAUUUUAAAGGCCCAGUGCAGUCAAAAUUCAGAUUAAAGAACCUUCACGCUUCGGACAUACCGACAGCUUUUGGCAUUUUGGUACAGUAGAAUUACAUUAAUUUCCAAUGAAACGCUGCGUUUCCUUUGCGACAUUGCAUACAUUGGAUUUAUUGAACGUAUGCGUCAAACGGUAUGCGUAGACGGUUUGACAGCAAUGGUUGCAGAAGGUGAAUGUUGAACUUUUGUUGCAUACAUAUCCAGAUGCUGCGUACUAUUGUGUUCGAAGCGUUAACGCCUCAUAUCCACCAGAUGCAUCGAGCUCUUUCUGUUCCACGGAGGUCAUUCAUGUUCAAUGGAGAAGUCCGCAACGCUACUUUGGCGGUGCCGUAGUAGGUUGUGGUGCAUUCUCUGUACCGCAUGCAUUCAAUAUUUCUUAUCCUGCAUUGCUUUACCUUGCGGUGGUACAAACAGAGGUACACACAGACUCCAACUAGCUAUCUUUUAGCAAGUUGAAAGCGAAGCAAGUGCCUCAUGUACAGAAAAUGGGGACUAGACACAGCGAAACAUCUGCAUCAGAUGGACAUUGUGCAUAAAUGUCCAAUGCGGACAUGUUUAUCUCAAUAUCAAAUCAUGUCUUAUGUGUAACAAAUUCAUUAAAUAAUAAAAAUUGUCAAAUUAACAAAAACAGCUUCUUAGCUAAAUGUAAUUUCUCAAGCAAUAAUUUUGCUAGGACUGUGGGAGUGGUCUGAGAGAGGGGCCUAAUGAUAGGGAUUUGUAACCUAAAAACGAGUUGUUAUUGGCAGAGAAGAGGGCAAACAAUCUUUUCAAACAGCUCUUUGACUAAAAGUGCAUUUUCACAAUUUCCCAGUGUUAUUUCAACCUCAUAGUCGGGAUAUAUAUAAAGCACAGUACAAUCACGUGUUUGACUGCACUGGGCCUUUAAGGUAUCUCAUAGGACCCAAUUUACGGCAACUGGCAGAAUCCUUCCGGACGUAGUUUGUGAUGCACCAAAAUAGCUGCUGUCCAUUUUCGUGCUGAAUGUUUUUUUUUUAAGAACUUGCGAAGUGUGGUUUUAAACUUAGAUAGUAAAUAUAAUCGAAUACAUUUAGGAGUAAGAACUUGAGUUGACGACGGUGUCGUUUUCAGUAUGUUUGCGAAGUCCAACACAGCGAUUAAACGCUCCGAUAGGCGAGGAGUCACUCGUUCCACAUUAAACUCAACGAUUUACAAUGGAGUUGAGCGACGACGAGUAGUGUGGUGGGCCGACUGGAGCUCCGGCGUUUUAAUGAAAAAACGACACAUUUCAGCACCCAAAGAAUAGGCAGCAAUUACACACGAUAUUUUCUAUUCGCCGCUCAACUCAACAGGCAUCCAGCCUCUUUGGUAGCUAGAAAGGAGGAAGCUGAAAGCUGACAUAUCCACAGCCUUUCCCUCUCUGUCUGUGGAGGAACUGUCCGAGUUGGUCCCAGACAAAGAGGAGCUGAAUGUAGUGAAGAUCUAUGCCCACAAGGGAGAUGCAGUCACCCUCUACGUGCUUCAUAAGAACCCAGUGUUCUUUGAGCUGGAAAACGUGUCUAUCUCACAGCAUUCACAACAUGGCCUCCAGUGUUACAGAAGCUGGCUGGAGGGGCAGGAAAGAUCUCAUGCUGCCUGGAGUGGUGGUGCCUCCAAGUGGUCUCCCAGAGGUGAAGAAGGGGGACUUCUGUGCUGUUAAAGUUGUUAGCAACAGGUUAUGAGUCAACCUGCGCAUCACUACCACAAGGACGCUAGACAAAAUGCAGCACUGCCACCAGCUGGUCUUCCCUGGCCAGCCACCCGUAGUAAAGAAGGGCCACAUUGAGCCCAUAGACAUCUCUGUGGCCUUCAGGAACUCCAACAAGAAGGUGACCAUGAUAAAGAACCUGGAGGUGUAUGGUGUGGACCCCAUGGCCGUAUCGUUAGCCCUGCAGCACAGAGUCCACGCCAGCUCAGCCCUGAACUCCGUCCAUGGCUCAAAGGACCGUGUCCUGGUCCAGAUACAAGGAAACCGGGUCCAGCAAGUCGGCAAACUGCUGCUACUAUGACCGUCAGGUAGAAGGCGCUGGACUCCAGAAGAUGAGGAAGGUAACAAGAGGUUUUGGUAUUAUUAGGGUUUCACCAUUGGAAACAAAUGAAGCAUAUAAUCAUUCAUGCAAAGCAUAAACCAAGCUUAUACCAGCCUUCUCUUAAUGUUACUAUAGCCAUAUAUCAUUUAAUCAAAGAAAGAUUCAUUAUAUCCAUUAUCCUUUAAAUGCAGUAUACAUCACAUUUUACUAGUUAAUUUGUGGAAAAAAUAACAUGUAUAUUCUGAUAAAUGUGUGCCGAGCAAAUUAACACAUUUUACUACUACUCCCCUAGUUAUUGUACUCAUCCAUCUGUUUAAGACAGCAUUAGAUACCCAGCAGCAGUUAGUUCUAUAGGUAUACUUACAGGGGAUGCACACUAUACCCAGGGCUUGGUAGAACACACCCUGCAGAGUGACCAUCCAGUGUUCCUCUUGAGGGUUCAUGACUUUACCCACCACAUAUACUGUAAUAGCAGAAACAGCAUCCAGGAGAGUGCCUCUCCUCUCACCAGCACAUAUCUGUGCUAUGGUCAUAUCACUGGGGGUUAACCACGCACACGCACACAUAUGUACAAACAUGCACACACAGUGUCUGUAUUUACCCAUUGUUAAUCAUUACUCAGACGAUAUUUGAGGCACACACAAGCUUAUUAGCUGGACUACAGAGGUUGGCCACUUCGAAAUUCAACUCACCUUGUGUGCAUCUAAAGAAACGUCUUCCAGUCCACUCACUUAUCUACUUUUAUUAUCUCAUGCUGAUGUGGUUGUUGUUUUUCCCUUUUUAGCCAUCUCUCAUAAUAUGAUGACCCCGAUGACCUUAGGGUCUUUCUUUCUUGCUGGUAAAUAUGUACUUUGACAUCCAGCACAUACUCAAAGCCAUUGGAUCUGUGUAUCUCUUCUCAUUCAAAAUACACUGAACAAAAAUAUCAACCUGGCUGCCACCCGCCCUUCACCCACAAAAUAUUUCAUGACCUUGCGGAUAUAACCAUGGGGACUGCAGGUUAUGAGUCAACCUGCGCAUCACUACCACAAGGACGCUAGACAAAAUGCAGCACUGCCACCAGCUGGUCUUCCCUGGCCAGCCACCCGUAGUAAAGAAGGGCCACAUUGAGCCCAUAGACAUCUCUGUGGCCUUCAGGAACUCCAACAAGAAGGUGACCAUGAUAAAGAACCUGGAGGUGUAUGGUGUGGACCCCAUGGCCGUAUCGUUAGCCCUGCAGCACAGAGUCCACGCCAGCUCAGCCCUGAACUCCGUCCAUGGCUCAAAGGACCGUGUCCUGGUCCAGAUACAAGGAAACCGGGUCCAGCAAGUCGGCAAACUGCUGCUACUGUAGGUUCACAAACAUUUCCUAUUGGUAACCACAUGACAAGACUGUCUUAAUACCAACUCUUGAUUUAACAGGUGUUUAUGUGCAUCAUUUCUAAGGCUUUCCCCCACUUUAUUUUUCCGAUAAGUACCAAAUUCCCCGCAAGUACAUCCAGGGUCUAGACAAAGUUCAGAAGCCUGAAAAGAAGAAAUAAUAGAACCUCAACAUUUCAUCAACAAAUGACCGUCAGGUAGAAGGCGCUGGACUCCAGAAGAUGAGGAAGGUAACAAGAGGUUUUGGUAUUAUUAGGGUUUCACCAUUGGAAACAAAUGAAGCAUAUAAUCAUUCAUGCAAAGCAUAAACCAAGCUUAUACCAGCCUUCUCUUAAUGUUACUAUAGCCAUAUAUCAUUUAAUCAAAGAAAGAUUCAUUAUAUCCAUUAUCCUUUAAAUGCAGUAUACAUCACAUUUUACUAGUUAAUUUGUGGAAAAAAUAACAUGUAUAUUCUGAUAAAUGUGUGCCGAGCAAAUUAACACAUUUUACUACUACUCCCCUAGUUAUUGUACUCAUCCAUCUGUUUAAGACAGCAUUAGAUACCCAGCAGCAGUUAGUUCUAUAGGUAUACUUACAGGGGAUGCACACUAUACCCAGGGCUUGGUAGAACACACCCUGCAGAGUGACCAUCCAGUGUUCCUCUUGAGGGUUCAUGACUUUACCCACCACAUAUACUGUAAUAGCAGAAACAGCAUCCAGGAGAGUGCCUCUCCUCUCACCAGCACAUAUCUGUGCUAUGGUCAUAUCACUGGGGGUUAACCACGCACACAUAUGUACAAACAUGCACACACAGUGUCUGUAUUUACCCAUUGUUAAUCAUUACUCAGACGAUAUUUGAGGCACACACAAGCUUAUUAGCUGGACUACAGAGGUUGGCCACUUCGAAAUUCAACUCACCUUGUGUGCAUCUAAAGAAACGUCUUCCAGUCCACUCACUUAUCUACUUUUAUUAUCUCAUGCUGAUGUGGUUGUUGUUUUUCCCUUUUUAGCCAUCUCUCAUAAUAUGAUGACCCCGAUGACCUUAGGGUCUUUCUUUCUUGCUGGUAAAUAUGUACUUUGACAUCCAGCACAUACUCAAAGCCAUUGGAUCUGUGUAUCUCUUCUCAUUCAAAAUACACUGAACAAAAAUAUAAGCGCAACAUGUAAGUGUUUGCUCCCAUGUUUCAUGAGCUGAAAUAAAAGAUCCC